GAGGUGAGUGGAAUAAACCUUAAGUUUUAAAAUAAAUGAAAUAUGAAUUUUGAGCAUGAUCCAUGCAUCAUGAAUGCCAUGAGAUGUAGUAGGUUGUUUGCAUUAGUAUUCACGAAUAUGUUGCAUUGCAUUUAUGAUGUUGAUGUGGAUUGGUUAUUGGAUGAUCCUUUAGUCCUCAUAUGAUAUGAUGAUGUUAUGGCAUGAGACGGUAUGGAAGUCCAGGUUGUACCCAUUCUACGUCCCUGGCACGAUGUAAGAGAAAGUCCAGGUUGUACCCAUUCUACGUCCCUGGCACAUUGGUAUGUUAUGAUAUGUUAUGUUAAGAGAAAGACCGGUUGUACCCAUUCUACGUCCCGG
This 357-nucleotide long non-coding RNA is filed under the name Manihot esculenta (cassava). RNAcentral's name for it is "long non-coding RNA (MESC_LNC001482)". The record is from RNAcentral. Lineage: Eukaryota; Viridiplantae; Streptophyta; Magnoliopsida; Malpighiales; Euphorbiaceae.